GGGGGCCAAGGCGGGAGUUUUUCCGUUUACUGGUGAAGGCCAUCUUUCAGGACAGUGGUGCUUUUGAAGCUACACCAAAUGGAUGCACACUGAAAUUUAACAUCCUACACUUGCAAAAUGGAGUAUAUCGAACCAUUGGCAGGAUGUUGUCCACGAUAAUAGUGCAAGGUGGAGAAGCACCAGCCUUUCUCUCUCCACAUGUAGUAGACUACGUUGUGUCAGGAGACAUUCUUCAAGUACACCUAACACCAGAUGAUAUAGGUGACCCUGAGUUAAGAGAGAAUCUGAAAAAGAGAGAACCCCAGUUUGCGUGUUCUGCUUGACCUAUCGGGGGAGGACAAAGAUCUGACAGCCAGUUUAAUUGCUGGGGUUCUCAGGCCAAGCUAUUCUGUCCUUGGGAGCAACAGAAGAGUUUGAGAGGAACUGAUGGUGGUCAAAUUUCGGGAAUUUCUCCAGUGUGUCGAAAAUAAAGAGCUGAGAGAUGCACUUGGAGAAAGGACUCUUACCAAGGAUGAAGAGGCAUUUGUGAAGGCUUUGAGGCCUGGUCACAUCUUGGCUUUUGCCACCGGGAGCAGCAAGGUUCCAGCCAUAGGUUUUCAACCAGCUCCUAAAAUAACAUUCAUUCACGAUGAAAGCAAACAUCUCCCGAUUGCACACACAUGUGCAAAUGAGCUUCAGCUUUUUGUGAAUGAAACAACAAUGGCUGAUGAUGAUGCUUUUCAUUACUGCUUCUUAGUAGCACUCAUGAAUGGAGCUUUAUUCAGCACCAUCUAAACAUGUUCCAAAAAAGUGAAAUUAAAAUGGUGGGUUUGUUAACUCUAAUCCUGUUCAUUAAUUGUAGUUUCAAGUAACUUUGCUUCAUACA
Molecule: long non-coding RNA, 865 nt
Organism: Oreochromis aureus
Lineage: Eukaryota; Metazoa; Chordata; Actinopteri; Cichliformes; Cichlidae
Exons: 4
Source: RefSeq, a predicted model, not a curated record